AUCUGUUAAUAGCUCAGUCGGUAGAGCAUGGGUUCGAAUCUCACGGUCAUGGGUUCGAGCCCCACAAUGGGCA
This is a non-coding RNA of Podarcis lilfordi (Lilford's wall lizard), 73 nucleotides long. The record is from the annotation of a GenBank genome assembly. Lineage: Eukaryota; Metazoa; Chordata; Lepidosauria; Squamata; Lacertidae.